This 243-nucleotide ribosomal RNA is filed under the name uncultured bacterium. RNAcentral's name for it is "partial 16S ribosomal RNA". It matches the Rfam family "Bacterial small subunit ribosomal RNA", at positions 69 to 339 of the family's 1533-position model. The record is from RNAcentral.
AGGUAGCAAUACCUAGCGGCAGACGGGUGCGUAACAUGUGGGAAUCUGCCUUUUGGUUCGGAAUAACACGAGGAAACUUGUGCUAAUACCGGAUAAGUCUUUACGGAGAAAGCUUUAUGCACCAUUGGAUGAGCCCGCAUUUGAUUAGUUUGUUGGUGAGGUAAUGGCUCACCAAGACUACAAUCAAUAGCUGAUUUGAGAGGAUGAUCAGCCACACUGGGACUGAGACACGGCCCAGACUCC